GACGAACGCUGGCGGCGUGCCUAACACAUGCAAGUCGAGCGGGGUCCAUCCGGUAGCAAUACCGGGGAAGACCUAGCGGCGAACGGGUGAGUAACACGUGAGAAACCUGCCCCGAAGUCUGGGAUAACCCGAGGAAACUCGAGCUAAUACCGGAUGUCUUCUUCUGAUCGCAUGGUCAGAUGAAGAAAGAUUUAUCGCUUCGGGAGGGUCUCGCGGCCUAUCAGCUAGUUGGCGGGGUAACGGCCCACCAAGGCGUCGACGGGUAGCUGGUCUGAGAGGACGAUCAGCCACACUGGGACUGAGACACGGCCCAGACUCCUACGGGAGGCAGCAGUGGGGAAUAUUGCGCAAUGGGCGAAAGCCUGACGCAGCAACGCCGCGUGCGGGAUGAAGGCCUUCGGUUGUAACG
This 409-nucleotide ribosomal RNA is filed under the name uncultured bacterium. RNAcentral's name for it is "bacterial SSU rRNA". It matches the Rfam family "Bacterial small subunit ribosomal RNA", at positions 28 to 430 of the family's 1533-position model. The record is from RNAcentral.